UGAACGGCGUAAAUGGAGGCUCAACGUGGUUGAUGCUCGGACUAAUAUUCCGGUUGAGGGGGUGGUGGUAGAUUUCGUAGUACUCUGCAUCGGCAGAUUCAGCGACUUUCCAAACAUCCCUGAAUUCCCUCCUAAUGGAGGCCCCGAAGCUUUCAAAGCCGGUAAAGUUCUUCACUCUUCGGAAUUUUCCGCCAUGGAUUUUGAUAGUGCUUUCAACCUCAUCAAGG
Molecule: unclassified non-coding RNA, 227 nt
Filed under: Hevea brasiliensis (rubber tree)
Lineage: Eukaryota; Viridiplantae; Streptophyta; Magnoliopsida; Malpighiales; Euphorbiaceae
Source: RNAcentral